This 425-nucleotide unclassified non-coding RNA is filed under the name soil metagenome. Its description in RNAcentral is "partial contains 5.8S ribosomal RNA, internal transcribed spacer 2, and large subunit ribosomal RNA". The stretch from base 1 to 120 matches the Rfam family "5.8S ribosomal RNA", at positions 35 to 154 of the family's 154-position model. The record is from RNAcentral.
GAUGAAGAACGCAGCGAAAUGCGAUAAGUAGUGUGAAUUGCAGAAUUCCGUGAAUCAUCGAAUCUUUGAACGCACAUUGCGCCUUCUGGUAUUCCGGAAGGCAUGCCUGUUCGAGAGUCAUUAACAACCGUUUCGAUCCCUUUCUUUCAGAAAUUACAAAGAGGAAAAGGGUUUGGUUAUGGUGGAGGAGGGAAAGGGAGCGUUUAGCCUGUAAAAAAAGAGGCUGUGUUCCGCCUCCCCCCCAAAAUUGUACAGGCGGUCGUGUGCGCCCACGCAUCGAGGUGUUGUAAAAGCUGCCACGGCACUUUUCACCUGUGCAGUGCGAGAUUGGCCAGCCGGUUUAAAAACCCCUCCAAACAAUCAAAGGUUGACAUCGGAUCAGGUAGGGAUACCCGCUGAACUUAAGCAUAUCAACAAGCGGAGGA